Molecule: non-coding RNA, 769 nt
Organism: Nelumbo nucifera (sacred lotus)
Lineage: Eukaryota; Viridiplantae; Streptophyta; Magnoliopsida; Proteales; Nelumbonaceae
Source: RefSeq, a predicted model, not a curated record
AAAUAAAAAAUUUUAAAAGUGGCGGUCUUUGCGAAAUGAUACGACGGUUUUAAUCUUUUAACUGGUCUAACCAAAAAACCUCUUCAAACUCUCGCAUUCUCUGCUAUUUGAUUUUGACGGAGAGCUCCAAAACUAGUUUAACCAAAGGUUUGCUUGGUUUUGUCGACCCUGGAAACCCUACAUUUGCAGUCGAGAAUAAAUCCCGUGAACAUGGCGGUCAAAUCUUACCGGCCAAGUUUAUUUGCUAAGUUUGCAGAGGAGAAAUAUUGGAGAUCUCAUCAUGAAUGUUGGUUCUGCGGUGAUGUUGGAAGAUGUGCUUCCCCUCUUCAUAGCUGAUACAAAGUUAGAAUCUUUCUUCUGAUUGAUAGUUCAGAUCUGCGGUGAUGUUUGAGAUUUCAAAGCUGACAAAGCUAUACCUAUAGAAGAAGCUUUGCUAGGGCUUGACGCCUCCUGAGUCCAGAGAUUCAACAAACUGCCGAUACAUUUCACCGACGAUAUUCUCUUAACUCCGACGAUUGGCCCUUUCCAAGUUUCCAAGUUGACCCUGAGUAUGUUUUUUCACAGCCUGAAACUUUGACCAUGCCUGUUGUAAGUUCUGUUGGAGGUCACCAUGAAGCUAAUGCGUAAUUUGGGUUUUUUCUUCCUAUCUUUGUUUCUUUGAACACUCACAAAACAAACUUUAUUAAUUAUAAUCCCAAGAACUUUUUUCUAUGCAUGGUAUGCUAAAGAGAAGCAUUGGCUAGCCAACAAUAUAUUGGGAUUAGCAUUC